RNAcentral lists this ribosomal RNA (628 nucleotides) under Anaspides tasmaniae (Tasmanian mountain shrimp). RNAcentral describes it as "partial 28S ribosomal RNA". It matches the Rfam family "Eukaryotic large subunit ribosomal RNA", at positions 1359 to 1772 of the family's 3401-position model. The record is from RNAcentral. Lineage: Eukaryota; Metazoa; Arthropoda; Malacostraca; Anaspidacea; Anaspididae.
GGUAGCUUGCGCUCCCCGGUCUCGAAGCCCCGACGAGUAGGAGGGUCGCAGCGGUGAGCGUCGAAGGGACUCCGGCGUGAGCCGGCCUGGAGCCGCCGCUGGUGCAGAUCUUGGUGGUAGUAGCAAAUACUCGAGAGAGACCCUAGAGGGCUGAUGUGGAGCAGGGUUCCAUGUGAACAUCAGUUGGACAUGGGUCAGUCGGUCCUAAGUCCAUGGCGAAGGCCAGUUCCUACCGCGCAGGCAAAUGUCAAAACGUGUYGUUACUGCGGAGGGCGUGUGGGGAGAUGAGAGACGUGUGUUCAGGAUCUUUUCGGAGACCUAAUAGCCCUCUUCCCCUUCACCCCCAUGCCCCCCUCGUCCACACGUGUGCGUGAUAUGUCCAAAGAAUACUCUUCUGGACGAAAGGGAUUCCGGUAAAUAUUCUGGAACUUGGCUUCGGAGAUGCUCGGUGCCCUCGGUCGGUUACGGCCGGCCUUGGGAGUCACACUGUGGCAUAAACCCCAGUAAUGGGAUCAAAGCCCGCAUCCGUCGGCGGUGGCCCAGGGAAGAGUUUUCUUUUCUGUUUAAGACAUCUUUAGCCCUGGAAGCAACUUGCUAGGAGAGAGGGCUGUGGUACAAGGUAUCACUG